UGGGGAAUUGUUCACAAUGGGCGCAAGCCUGAUGACGCAACGCCGCGUGGAGGAUGAAGGUCUUCGGAUUGUAAACUCCUGUUGCUCGGGACGAAAAGCUCCGACCUAAUACGUCGGAGUCUGACGGUACCGGGUGAGGAAGCCCCGGCUGACUCUGUGCCAGCAGCCGCGGUAAGACGUAGGGGGCCAGCGUUGUUCGGAAUUACUGGGUGUAAAGGGUUCGUAGGCGGUGUGGCAAGUCGGGAGUGAAAUCUCUGGGCUCAACCCAGGGGCUGCUUCCGAAACUGCCGUGCUGGAGUGUGGGAGAGGCGCGUGGAAUUGCAGGUGUAGCGGUGAAAUGCGUAGAUAUCUGCAGGAACACCCGUGGCGAAAGCGGCGCGCUGGACCACUACUGACGCUGAGGAACGAAAGCUAGGGGAGCAAAC
This 425-nucleotide ribosomal RNA is filed under the name uncultured bacterium. RNAcentral's name for it is "bacterial SSU rRNA". It matches the Rfam family "Bacterial small subunit ribosomal RNA", at positions 355 to 773 of the family's 1533-position model. The record is from RNAcentral.